Cervus elaphus (red deer) is the source of this 367-nucleotide long non-coding RNA. RefSeq lists it as uncharacterized. Lineage: Eukaryota; Metazoa; Chordata; Mammalia; Artiodactyla; Cervidae. The transcript is spliced from 4 exons. The record is from RefSeq and is a predicted model, not a curated record.
CGAGGGCGUGGUGUACAAAAUGGGGCGGGACUUUAGAGAGGAAAGGCUUAAAAAUUUGCAUCCGGAUUUUGGCGCCAAUGUUUGGUAUUUAUACUUACUGAAUACAGUUGAAGAAAAAUCUGAGUCUUGAAAAGAAGAAACAAAAUGCCCAAGACACAGAUAACAGCAGAAACCAGAUUCAAACCAGGUUCUGCUUUGCUCCCAUCAAGAAAGUCCUGCUUUGCCUCCUGCAUCAUACAAACGGAUCCCUAAAAGCCUUUCCUGGCUUCCUGAUAAACCUGCAGAUGAGGAGAAUCAACAAGCUUUCUUCCCGCAUUCACCCAGCGUGUUAGAAGGAUACCAAAGGCUCGCUGCUGGGCCUGUAUCC